Molecule: ribosomal RNA, 301 nt
Filed under: uncultured bacterium
Lineage: Bacteria
Description: partial 16S ribosomal RNA
Rfam family: Bacterial small subunit ribosomal RNA
Source: RNAcentral
CAGCAGCCGCGGUAAUACAGAGGGUGCGAGCGUUAAUAGGAUUUACUGGGCGUAAAGCGUGCGUAGGCGGCUAAUUGAGUCGGAUGUGAAAUCCCCGAGCUUAACUUGGGAAUUGCAUUCGAUACUGGUUAGCUAGAGUGUGGGAGAGGAUGGUAGAAUUCCAGGUGUAGCGGUGAAAUGCGUAGAGAUCUGGAGGAAUACCGAUGGCGAAGGCAGCCAUCUGGCCUAACACUGACGCUGAGGUACGAAAGCAUGGGGAGCAAACAGGAUUAGAUACCCCAGUAGUCCCUGUCUCUUAUAC